RNAcentral lists this unclassified non-coding RNA (145 nucleotides) under soil metagenome. Its description in RNAcentral is "partial internal transcribed spacer 1". The record is from RNAcentral.
UAAUAAGUGUUUUAUGGCACUUUUUAAAUCCAUAUCCACCUUGUGUGCAAUGUCAGUCGAUCUUCUUCAUGGAGAUCGACCAAACAUCAACCUUUAUCUUUUAACUCUUUGUCUGAAAAAUAUUAUGAAUAAACAGUCCAAAAUA